UCUUGACUAGUAUAUCGGUUUAGUACAGCCGCUUGUCAAAUUCCGCGAUCGCGGCAGAGCUGGGUUCGACUCCCAGGUCGAGAG
Non-coding RNA from Mycena filopes, 84 nucleotides. NCBI's taxonomy places the organism in Eukaryota, Fungi, Basidiomycota, Agaricomycetes, Agaricales, Mycenaceae. The record is from the annotation of a GenBank genome assembly.